This 497-nucleotide ribosomal RNA is filed under the name uncultured bacterium. RNAcentral describes it as "partial 16S ribosomal RNA". It matches the Rfam family "Bacterial small subunit ribosomal RNA", at positions 28 to 507 of the family's 1533-position model. The record is from RNAcentral.
GAUGAACGCUGGCGGCGUGCCUAAUACAUGCAAGUCGAGCGAACAGACGAGGAGCUUGCUCCUCUGACGUUAGCGGCGGACGGGUGAGCAACACGUGGAUAACCUACCUAUAAGACUGGGAUAACUUCGGGAAACCGGAGCUAAUACCGGAUAAUAUAUUGAACCGCAUGGUUCAAUAGUGAAAGACGGUUUUGCUGUCACUUAUAGAUGGAUCCGCGCCGCAUUAGCUAGUUGGUAAGGUAACGGCUUACCAAGGCAACGAUGCGUAGCCGGACUGAGAGGGUGAUCGGCCACACUGGAACUGAGACACGGUCCAGACUCCUACGGGAGGCAGCAGUAGGGAAUCUUCCGCAAUGGGCGAAAGCCUGACGGAGCAACGCCGCGUGAGUGAUGAAGGUCUUCGGAUCGUAAAACUCUGUUAUUAGGGAAGAACAAAUGUGUAAGUAACUAUGCACGUCUUGACGGUACCUAAUCAGAAAGCCACGGCUAACUACGUG